GUUGGCCCCUUACCGGGGUUGCGGACAGUGUCUGGUGGGUAGUUUGACUGGGGCGGUCUCCUCCUAAAGCGUAACGGAGGAGCACGAAGGUUAGCUAAUCCUGGUCGGACAUCAGGAGGUUAGUGCAAUGGCAUAAGCUAGCUUGACUGCGAGCGUGACGGCGCGAGCAGGUGCGAAAGCAGGUCAUAGUGAUCCGGUGGUUCUGAAUGGAAGGGCCAUCGCUCAACGGAUAAAAGGUACUCCGGGGAUAACAGGCUGAUACCGCCCAAGAGUUCAUAUCGACGGCGGUGUUUGGCACCUCGAUGUCGGCUCAUCACAUCCUGGGGCUGAAGUAGGUCCCAAGGGUAUGGCUGUUCGCCAUUUAAAGUGGUACGCGAGCUGGGUUUAGAACGUCGUGAGACAGUUCGGUCCCUAUCUGCCGUGGGCGCUGGAGAAUUGAGGGGGGCUGCUCCUAGUACGAGAGGACCGGAGUGGACGCAUCACUGGUGUUCGGGUUGUCAUGCCAAUGGCACUGCCCGGUAGCUAAAUGCGGAAGAGAUAAGUGCUGAAAGCAUCUAAGCACGAAACUUGCCCCGAGAUGAGUUCUCCCUGAGACUUUAAGUCUCCUGAAGGAACGUUGAAGACGACGACGUUGAUAGGCCGGGUGUGUAAGCGCAGCGAUGCGUUGAGCUAACCGGUACUAAUGAACCGUGAGGCUUAACCUU
RNAcentral lists this ribosomal RNA (704 nucleotides) under Klebsiella pneumoniae. Its description in RNAcentral is "partial 23S ribosomal RNA". It matches the Rfam family "Bacterial large subunit ribosomal RNA", at positions 2227 to 2925 of the family's 2925-position model. The record is from RNAcentral. Lineage: Bacteria; Pseudomonadati; Pseudomonadota; Gammaproteobacteria; Enterobacterales; Enterobacteriaceae.